RNAcentral lists this transfer RNA (73 nucleotides) under Ictidomys tridecemlineatus (thirteen-lined ground squirrel). RNAcentral's name for it is "Spermophilus tridecemlineatus (thirteen-lined ground squirrel) tRNA". It matches the Rfam family "tRNA". From Rfam's summary of the family: Transfer RNA (tRNA) molecules are approximately 80 nucleotides in length. Their secondary structure includes four short double-helical elements and three loops (D, anti-codon, and T loops). Further hydrogen bonds mediate the characteristic L-shaped molecular structure. tRNAs have two regions of fundamental functional importance: the anti-codon, which is responsible for specific mRNA codon recognition, and the 3' end, to which the tRNAs corresponding amino acid is attached (by aminoacyl-tRNA synthetases). tRNAs cope with the degeneracy of the genetic code in two manners: having more than one tRNA (with a specific anti-codon) for a particular amino acid; and 'wobble' base-pairing, i.e. permitting non-standard base-pairing at the 3rd anti-codon position. The record is from Rfam by way of RNAcentral. Lineage: Eukaryota; Metazoa; Chordata; Mammalia; Rodentia; Sciuridae. RNAcentral also lists the same sequence under 1 other name.
GGGGAUAUAGCUCAGUUGGUAGAGUGCUUGUCUUGCAUGCACAAGGCCCUGGGUUCAAUCCCUAGUACCACAA